Molecule: ribosomal RNA, 207 nt
Filed under: uncultured bacterium
Lineage: Bacteria
Description: partial 16S ribosomal RNA
Rfam family: Bacterial small subunit ribosomal RNA
Source: RNAcentral
UGCGUAGGUGGCGUCGUAAGUCGGGUGUGAAAUCUCGGGGCUUAACUCCGAAACUGCAUUCGAUACUGCGGUGCUUGAGGACUGGAGAGGAGACUGGAAUUUACGGUGUAGCAGUGAAAUGCGUAGAGAUCGUAAGGAAGACCAGUGGCGAAGGCGGGUCUCUGGACAGUUCCUGACACUGAGGCACGAAGGCCAGGGGAGCGAAAC